GAUGAACGCUGGCGGCGUGCCUAAUACAUGCAAGUCGAGCGAGCGGACGAGAAGCUUGCUUCUCUGAUGUUAGCGGCGGACGGGUGAGUAACACGUGGAUAACCUACCUAUAAGACUGGGAUAACUUCGGGAAACCGGAGCUAAUACCGGAUAAUAUUUUGAACCGCAUGGUUCAAAAGUGAAAGACGGUCUUGCUGUCACUUAUAGAUGGAUCCGCGCUGCAUUAGCUAGUUGGUAAGGUAACGGCUUACCAAGGCAACGAUGCAUAGCCGACCUGAGAGGGUGAUCGGCCACACUGGAACUGAGACACGGUCCAGACUACUACGGGAGGCAGCAGUAGGGAAUCUUCCGCAAUGGGCGAAAGCCUGACGGAGCAACGCCGCGUGAGUGAUGAAGGUCUUCGGAUCGUAAAACUCUGUUAUUAGGGAAGAACAUAUGUGUAAGUAACUGUGCACAUCUUGACGGUACCUAAUCAGAAAGCCACGGCUAACUACGUG
RNAcentral lists this ribosomal RNA (497 nucleotides) under uncultured bacterium. RNAcentral describes it as "partial 16S ribosomal RNA". It matches the Rfam family "Bacterial small subunit ribosomal RNA", at positions 28 to 507 of the family's 1533-position model. The record is from RNAcentral.